GACGAACGCUGGCGGCGUGCUUAACACAUGCAAGUCGAACGGAAAGGCCCUGCUUGCAGGGUACUCGAGUGGCGAACGGGUGAGUAACACGUGGGUGACUUGCCCUGCACUUCGGGUUAAGCUUGGGAAACUGGGUCUAAUACCGGAUAGGCACCAUCUUUAGUGUGGUGGUUGGACAGUUUUUUCGGUGUAGGAUGAGCUGGCGGCCUAUCAGCUUGUUGGUGGGGUAAUGGCCUACCAAGGCGGCGACGGGUAGCCGGCCUGAGAGGGUGUACGGCCACAUUGAGACUGAGGGGCGGCACAGACGCCUACGGGAGGCAGCAGUGGGGAAGAUUGCACAAUGGGCGCAAGCCUGAUGCAGCGGGGCCGCGUGGGGGAUGAAGGCCUUCGGGUUGUAAACGCCUUUCGCGAGGGACGAAGCUUUUUGUGACGGUACCUAGAGAAGAAGCACCGGCUAACUACGUG
This 465-nucleotide ribosomal RNA is filed under the name uncultured bacterium. RNAcentral's name for it is "partial 16S ribosomal RNA". It matches the Rfam family "Bacterial small subunit ribosomal RNA", at positions 28 to 507 of the family's 1533-position model. The record is from RNAcentral.